Long non-coding RNA from Aptenodytes forsteri (emperor penguin), 384 nucleotides. RefSeq lists it as uncharacterized. The record is from RefSeq and is a predicted model, not a curated record. NCBI's taxonomy places the organism in Eukaryota, Metazoa, Chordata, Aves, Sphenisciformes, Spheniscidae. The transcript has 3 exons.
CCCUCACCCUGCGAACCCAACGAAUUCAAGUGCCGCAACGGGCACUGCGCCCUCAAGCUUUGGCGUUGCGACGGCGAGAACGACUGCGGGGACGGCUCCGACGAGACCGAUUGCCCCACCAAGGCACCCGGCGCGGCGUGCGGGCCGGCAGAGUUUCGGUGCGUGGCGAGCGGGAGCUGCAUCCAUGCCAGCUACCAAUGCGACCGGGAGCCCGACUGUCCCGACCGCUCCGAUGAGGUCGGCUGCGUGCCCCCGCAGGUGGUGACGCUCCCCCGGGAGUCGGUGCGGGCGGUGCCGGGGCAGACGGUCACCUUCACCUGCGUGGCCACCGGCGUCCCCACCCCCAUCAUCACCUGGCGCCUCAACUGGGGCCACACCCCCAGC